RNAcentral lists this non-coding RNA (184 nucleotides) under Escherichia coli. Its description in RNAcentral is "6S RNA". It matches the Rfam family "6S / SsrS RNA". From Rfam's summary of the family: E. coli 6S RNA was the first non coding RNA to be sequenced, but its function was unknown until recently. It consists of 184 nucleotides that fold into an extended hairpin structure with a large single-stranded internal bulge. The 6S RNA specifically associates with RNA polymerase holoenzyme containing the sigma70 specificity factor. The record is from RNAcentral. Lineage: Bacteria; Pseudomonadati; Pseudomonadota; Gammaproteobacteria; Enterobacterales; Enterobacteriaceae. RNAcentral also lists the same sequence under 2 other names.
AUUUCUCUGAGAUGUUCGCAAGCGGGCCAGUCCCCUGAGCCGAUAUUUCAUACCACAAGAAUGUGGCGCUCCACGGUUGGUGAGCAUGCUCGGUCCGUCCGAGAAGCCUUAAAACUGCGACGACACAUUCACCUUGAACCAAGGGUUCAAGGGUUACAGCCUGCGGCGGCAUCUCGGAGAUUCC